This 496-nucleotide ribosomal RNA is filed under the name uncultured bacterium. RNAcentral's name for it is "partial 16S ribosomal RNA". It matches the Rfam family "Bacterial small subunit ribosomal RNA", at positions 28 to 506 of the family's 1533-position model. The record is from RNAcentral.
GAUGAACGCUGGCGGCAUGCCUAAUACAUGCAAGUCGAGCGAACAGACGAGGAGCUUGCUCCUCUGACGUUAGCGGCGGACGGGUGAGUAACACGUGGAUAACCUACCUAUAAGACUGGGAUAACUUCGGGAAACCGGAGCUAAUACCGGAUAAUAUAUUGAACCGCAUGGUUCAAUAGUGAAAGACGGUUUUGCUGUCACUUAUAGAUGGAUCCGCGCCGCAUUAGCUAGUUGGUAAGGUAACGGCUUACCAAGGCAACGAUGCGUAGCCGACCUGAGAGGGUGAUCGGCCACACUGGAACUGAGACACGGUCCAGACUCCUACGGGAGGCAGCAGUAGGGAAUCUUCCGCAAUGGGCGAAAGCCUGACGGAGCAACGCCGCGUGAGUGAUGAAGGUCUUCGGAUCGUAAAACUCUGUUAUUAGGGAAGAACAAAUGUGUAAGUAACUAUGCACGUCUUGACGGUACCUAAUCAGAAAGCCACGGCUAACUACGU